GCACUCGUCCGUUCGUGGCCCACCGUGGUGGUCACCAAAUUGAGGGCUUCCUGGAAGGACCUCCUCACGGUGCCCAUCCACUGGGUCAUGUGGGUCUGGGCCACUGUGAGUUUAUCUCCCAGGUGGAGCAACACCGUCAGUCAGAAGGCAGCGGAUGGCACAGGGCUUCCGCGUAAGGCCUGCAUCGCCUGAGUCAUGGUUUUCUCAUCUUGUAUGAGGCCCACCCCCUUCAAAAGGUUGUGACAAAAAAAACAACUGAGAUAAUUUGUGCCGCUGGCACAUAGUUAACACUCAAUAAGGCCGGGCGCAGUGGCUUACACCUCUAAUCCCAGCACUUUGGGAGGCUGAGGCAGGUGGAUCACUUGAGGCCAGGAGUUCGAUACCAGCCUGACCAACAUGGUGAAACCCCAUCUCAACUAAAAAUACAAAAAUUAGCCAGGCAUGGUGGUGUGCACCUGUAGUCCCAGCUACUUGGGAGCCUGAGGCAGGAGCAUCUCUUGAACCCGGGAGGUGGAGGUUGCAGUGAGCGGAGAUGGCACCACUGCACUCCAGCCUGGGCGACAGAACAAGACUCUGUCUCAAAACAACAACAACAACAAAAUAAUAAAUGGUGACCACAAGGGAUGAUCGUUUUUCUAUUAUAAUUCCUAUCAUCUCACUGUUCAAAUGAAUCACAGGACCCUAGACAGUCAGAAUCAAGACACCAGCAGGGACCAACCUAGGCCAACCUUCCCACUAAACUGAAGAAACAGGCCCAGACCGAGGGCUGCCCUAAGGCCUCACAGUCCAUCUGCAGCAGG
Molecule: long non-coding RNA, 800 nt
Filed under: Homo sapiens (human)
Lineage: Eukaryota; Metazoa; Chordata; Mammalia; Primates; Hominidae
Description: HSALNT0405204
Source: RNAcentral